RNAcentral lists this ribosomal RNA (777 nucleotides) under uncultured Photobacterium sp. RNAcentral's name for it is "bacterial SSU rRNA". It matches the Rfam family "Bacterial small subunit ribosomal RNA", at positions 733 to 1506 of the family's 1533-position model. Lineage: Bacteria; Pseudomonadati; Pseudomonadota; Gammaproteobacteria; Vibrionales; Vibrionaceae. The record is from RNAcentral.
ACAGAUACUGACACUCAGAUGCGAAAGCGUGGGGAGCAAACAGGGAUUAGAUACCCUGGUAGUCCACGCCGUAAACGAUGUCUACUUGGAGGUUGUGGCCUUGAGCCGUGGCUUUUCGGAGCUAACGCGUUAAGUAGACCGCCUGGGGAGUACGGUCGCAAGAUUUAAAACUCAAAUGAAUUGACGGGGGCCCGCACAAGCGGUGGAGCAUGUGGUUUAAUUCGAUGCAACGCGAAGAACCUUACCUACUCUUGACAUCCAGAGAACUUAGCAGAGAUGCUUUGGUGCCUUCGGGAACUCUGAGACAGGUGCUGCAUGGCUGUCGUCAGCUCGUGUUGUGAAAUGUUGGGUUAAGUCCCGCAACGAGCGCAACCCUUAUCCUUGUUUGCCAGCACGUAAUGGUGGGAACUCCAGGGAGACUGCCGGUGAUAAACCGGAGGAAGGUGGGGACGACGUCAAGUCAUCAUGGCCCUUACGAGUAGGGCUACACACGUGCUACAAUGGCGUAUACAGAGGGCUGCCAACCAGCGAUGGUGAGCGAAUCCCAGAAAGUACGUCGUAGUCCGGAUUGGAGUCUGCAACUCGACUCCAUGAAGUCGGAAUCGCUAGUAAUCGUGAAUCAGAAUGUCACGGUGAAUACGUUCCCGGGCCUUGUACACACCGCCCGUCACACCAUGGGAGUGGGCUGCACCAGAAGUAGAUAGCUUAACCUUCGGGAGGGCGUUUACCACGGUGUGGUUCAUGACUGGGGUGAAGUCGUAACAAGGUAACCAAGGG